GAACGCUAGCUACAGGCUUAACACAUGCAAGUCGAGGGGCAGCAUGGUCUUAGCUUGCUAAGGCCGAUGGCGACCGGCGCACGGGUGAGUAACACGUAUCCAACCUGCCGUCUACUCUUGGACAGCCUUCUGAAAGGAAGAUUAAUACAAGAUGGCAUCAUGAGUCCGCAUGUUCACAUGAUUAAAGGUAUUCCGGUAGACGAUGGGGAUGCGUUCCAUUAGAUAGUAGGCGGGGUAACGGCCCACCUAGUCUUCGAUGGAUAGGGGUUCUGAGAGGAAGGUCCCCCACAUUGGAACUGAGACACGGUCCAAACUCCUACGGGAGGCAGCAGUGAGGAAUAUUGGUCAAUGGGCGAGAGCCUGAACCAGCCAAGUAGCGUGAAGGAUGACUGCCCUAUGGGUUGUAAACUUCUUUUAUAAAGGAAUAAAGUCGGGUAUGGAUACCCGUUUGCAUGUACUUUAUGAAUAAGGAUCGGCUAACUCCGUGCCAGCAGCCGCGGUAAUACGGAGGAUCCGAGCGUUAUCCGGAUUUAUUGGGUUUAAAGGGAGCGUAGAUGGAUGUUUAAGUCAGUUGUGAAAGUUUGCGGCUCAACCGUAAAAAUUGCAGUUGAUACUGGAUAUCUUGAGUGCAGUUGAGGCAGGCGGAAUUCGUGGUGUAGCGGUGAAAUGCUUAGAUAUCACGAAGAACUCCGAUUGCGAAGGCAGCCUGCUAAGCUGCAACUGACAUUGAGGCUCGAAAGUGUGGGUAUCAAACAGGAUUAGAUACCCUGGUAGUCCACACGGUAAACGAUGAAUACUCGCUGUUUGCGAUAUACUGCAAGCGGCCAAGCGAAAGCGUUAAGUAUUCCACCUGGGGAGUACGCCGGCAACGGUGAAACUCAAAGGAAUUGACGGGGGCCCGCACAAGCGGAGGAACAUGUGGUUUAAUUCGAUGGUACGCGAGGAACCUUACCCGGGCUUAAAUUGCAGAUGAAUUACGGUGAAAGCCGUAAGCCGCAAGGCAUCUGUGAAGGUGCUGCAUGGUUGUCGUCAGCUCGUGCCGUGAGGUGUCGGCUUAAGUGCCAUAACGAGCGCAACCCUUGUUGUCAGUUACUAACAGGUUCCGCUGAGGACUCUGACAAGACUGCCAUCGUAAGAUGUGAGGAAGGUGGGGAUGACGUCAAAUCAGCACGGCCCUUACGUCCGGGGCUACACACGUGUUACAAUGGGGGGUACAGAGGGCCGCUACCACGCGAGUGGAUGCCAAUCCCCAAAACCUCUCUCAGUUCGGACUGGAGUCUGCAACCCGACUCCACGAAGCUGGAUUCGCUAGUAAUCGCGCAUCAGCCAUGGCGCGGUGAAUACGUUCCCGGGCCUUGUACACACCGCCCGUCAAGCCAUGGGAGCCGGGGGUACCUGAAGUGCGUAACCGCGAGGAGCGCCCUAGGGUAAAACUGGUGACUGGGGC
This 1447-nucleotide ribosomal RNA is filed under the name uncultured organism. Its description in RNAcentral is "SSU rRNA". It matches the Rfam family "Bacterial small subunit ribosomal RNA". The record is from RNAcentral.